Molecule: ribosomal RNA, 161 nt
Filed under: uncultured bacterium
Lineage: Bacteria
Description: partial 16S ribosomal RNA
Rfam family: Bacterial small subunit ribosomal RNA
Source: RNAcentral
GGAAUCUUCCACAAUGGACGAAAGUCUGAUGGAGCAACGCCGCGUGAGUGAAGAAGGGUUUCGGCUCGUAAAACUCUGUUGUUAAAGAAGAACAUAUCUGAGAGUAACUGUUCAGGUAUUGACGGUAUUUAACCAGAAAGCCACGGCUAACUACGUGCCAA